AGGGCAACGACGAGACCGUACAGGCCGAGC
Molecule: non-coding RNA, 30 nt
Filed under: Homo sapiens (human)
Lineage: Eukaryota; Metazoa; Chordata; Mammalia; Primates; Hominidae
Source: RNAcentral